This 402-nucleotide ribosomal RNA is filed under the name Alionchis jailoloensis. Its description in RNAcentral is "partial 16S ribosomal RNA". It matches the Rfam family "Archaeal large subunit ribosomal RNA", at positions 1990 to 2658 of the family's 2987-position model. The record is from RNAcentral. Lineage: Eukaryota; Metazoa; Mollusca; Gastropoda; Systellommatophora; Onchidiidae.
UGAAGAAAUUUUAAUGGCCGCAGUACCCUGACUGUGCUAAGGUAGCAUAAUCAGUUGGCUUUUAAUUGGAGUCUAGUAUGAAAGGAUUUGUCGGGGGGUUUCUGUCUCUCUAGAUUUUUUUUUAACUUUCUUAAAAGGUGCAAAAUCCUUUAGUAUUAGAAAAAAGACGAGAAGACCCUAAGAGUUUUAAUAAUAAUCUAUAGUUAUGGACUUAUUUUUUGCUGGGGCGGCAAGGAGACAAUUUUUUAACUCUCCUGAUAAAACUUGUGAAGACGUUUGUAAAAAGUGCUUUUAAACUACCUUAGGGAUAACAGCAUUAUUAAUUUAUUAGAUUGUGACCUCGAUGUUGGACUAGGAAUAUCUUUUGGCCAGCAGCCAAAAGUCUGGUUCUGUUCGAACCCU